GUGCACCAGUCGCGAAACCUCCGCAAUACACGAAAGUGUGACGGGGCCAUCCCGAGUGCCGUCCGCUGAGGACGGCUUUUCCCCAGUGUACACAGCUGGGGGAAUAAGGAGAGGGCAAGCCUGGUGUCAGCCGCCGCGGUAAUACCAGCUCUCCGAGUGGUGGGACGCUUAUUGGGCCUAAAGCAUCCGUAGCCGGCUGGGCAAGUCCUCCGUUAAAUCCAACGAUUCAAUCGUUGGGCUGCGGGGGAUACUGUCCAGCUUGGGGCGGGAGAGGCCGACGGUAUUCCCGGGGUAGGGGUGAAAUCCUAUAAUCCCGGGAGGACCACCAGCGGCGAAGGCUGUCGGCUAGAACGCGCCCGACGGUGAGGGGAUGAAAGCUGGGGGAGCGAACCGGAUUAGAUACCCGGUAGU
This 411-nucleotide ribosomal RNA is filed under the name uncultured microorganism. RNAcentral describes it as "bacterial SSU rRNA". It matches the Rfam family "Archaeal small subunit ribosomal RNA", at positions 330 to 745 of the family's 1478-position model. The record is from RNAcentral.